AUGCAGUCGACGGUGAAGGAGAGCUUGCUCUUUGGAUCAGUGGCGAACGGGUGAGUAACACGUGAGCAAUCUGCCCCUGACUCUGGGAUAACAGUUGGAAACAGCUGCUAAUACCGGAUAUGAGACGUGACCGCAUGGUCGACGUUUGGAAAGAAUUUCGGUCAGGGAUGAGCUCGCGGCCUAUCAGCUUGUUGGUGAGGUAAUGGCUCACCAAGGCGUCGACGGGUAGCCGGCCUGAGAGGGUGACCGGCCACACUGGGACUGAGACACGGCCCAGACUCCUACGGGAGGCAGCAGUGGGGAAUAUUGCACAAUGGGCGAAAGCCUGAUGCAGCAACGCCGCGUGAGGGACGACGGCCUUCGGGUUGUAAACCUCUUUUAGCAGGGAAGAAGCGAAAGUGACGGUACCUGCAGAAAAAGCGCCGGCUAACUACGUGCCAGCAGCCGCGGUAAUACGUAGGGCGCAAGCGUUAUCCGGAAUUAUUGGGCGUAAAGAGCUCGUAGGCGGUUUGUCGCGUCUGCUGUGAAAACUGGAGGCUCAACCUCCAGCCUGCAGUGGGUACGGGCAGACUAGAGUGCGGUAGGGGAGAUUGGAAUUCCUGGUGUAGCGGUGGAAUGCGCAGAUAUCAAGAGGAACACCGAUGGCGAAGGCAGAUCUCUG
This 661-nucleotide ribosomal RNA is filed under the name Microbacterium sp. RNAcentral describes it as "bacterial SSU rRNA". It matches the Rfam family "Bacterial small subunit ribosomal RNA", at positions 55 to 731 of the family's 1533-position model. The record is from RNAcentral. Lineage: Bacteria; Bacillati; Actinomycetota; Actinomycetes; Micrococcales; Microbacteriaceae.